CAUUAUUGGAAUGAAGGUACCACCAUGAAGCAUGCUAUCUAGUGCUGUCAAUACAUCAUGUGAAAAACACAUCUGGACACCUUAAAUUCUAAUGUGGCACUUAACACCUUAAAAUACAUACCAGAGCAUAUACCACUUUUUAUUGACACCAAUCAGGUGUUUUAUAUACAACUUUUAUGUUAUGUAUGUCAUGAAGUGAUAGUCAGGAUAAAAACUGAUUCUAUUGAUCCUAAACUAUGUCUUCACAGAAAGCUGAGGCAACUGGGGAGAAAAGACCCAGGGGACGACCCAGGAAAUGGGUGCUGAGAUGGAUAGGCAGACCUCUGCCAAGCUGACCAGCUUCCUCUGCUAGUAAUAGCUUGAAGGGGAACUCUCUGCUCUCCAAUAGAUUGCAUUCAUCAGUUGUGCACAGCAAUUCCCCUUUUCUGCUGCCAAGUGGCUGCUGUCCAUUGGAUUUUAUGUGUUGGUUCCACCACAGGCAAGCUAAUGUCUUUCUCCCUGUUUGCAGCUCUAUUACAGUAAUGAUUUGCAUCCUCAACAUUUGGCUGAGUAUAAGUAAUUUAUUCUCGUGAUUAUGGCAACAACAAUAAAAAUUGUGAAAAUAAACAUUGCAGUUAGUGCUAUAUUUUAUUGAAGGUAAUGGCUUAUUGGUAUGGGACUAAUACCUGGAGACUUUUGUUUUUGUAAUAAUUGACAAAUGAUUGACACGUGUGUCAUGGAGGUCAGUGUAUAAGCGCAAUUUUCUUAAAUGUGGCACAAAAUCUAGCUCAUGAAAGCUCUCACAUUCUGGUAUAAAUAAUAUUAUACUAUCAUAAUUAUAUCAUUUUGUAUCCUACAUGACCUUUAAGCCAACUCCUGUCUGCCUGUGAACUCUCUGUCCUGUUCAUUCUCAAUAAACUAGAGGAUUAUUUGAGAUUCCUCAACCAAGAAAUGUAAAUAAACGUGUGCUCUCACUAUAUAAAUUCUCAAAAAUACAGAAUAUUUUAUAUUAUUUUUUAUACCGACAUUACUUCACUUCAUCACGUAUCAGCAGACACAUGUACAAUCUCAAUAUGUCUGUGAAAACCAAUAUCUAUAGCUGAUUUAUCUAGUUCAUGCACAGCACUAGGCUGUCCAUGCUAGUCAGAACUCAGCUGUGUGACUCCUCAACCAAAUAUCCCUGCCCAGUUUAUCAGAAUUCUGUACAAAAUCUGUACACUGUGUAAAGUACAAGUUAUACAGAAAGUUAUAAAAUCUCAAAGUUAUAAAGUGGAGUUUUUGUACAGUAAUCAGUGAGGUCUGAACAACACCGUCCUUGAGAAUCACUACAUACAGUUAAGAUGAAAUAGAAAAUACCUGUUACGGACCUCAAGGGCUCGCAAGGCCCGAAACAUAUUGAAAGAAAACAUGAAGACAAAAGUUGCCACUAAAACAAUAAUAUUUUUUUAUUAAUUCAAAACAAACGAAAUAAUUCCCCAAGAAAAUAACAAAACAAAAGGGUUGGAGGUUCCUGGCCAAAAUAAACAAAC
This is a long non-coding RNA of Larimichthys crocea (large yellow croaker), 1508 nucleotides long. RefSeq lists it as uncharacterized. The record is from RefSeq and is a predicted model, not a curated record. The transcript is spliced from 2 exons. Lineage: Eukaryota; Metazoa; Chordata; Actinopteri; Sciaenidae.